Salvelinus fontinalis (brook trout) is the source of this 1699-nucleotide long non-coding RNA. RefSeq lists it as uncharacterized. The transcript has 2 exons. The record is from RefSeq and is a predicted model, not a curated record. Lineage: Eukaryota; Metazoa; Chordata; Actinopteri; Salmoniformes; Salmonidae.
CAUGCUGGAGAAGUAGCAUAGUGGCAAAGUGGCAUGUGGCACGUUUACACUGUAAAUUAAUUACAAUUGAGUUCAUCCACAGUGACUUAUUACAGGUGUAAGGACAAAAAGUAGCAAAAAAAAGGUCAUAAUAUGAGCAUUGUAACCAGGGCUGUAGUGUUGCCGGAGUGAACCGGAGCGUAACUCCGCCACUUCUCAGAAUGGUGAUGGUUUAAAGGGUAGGAAGCACACGUUUUUAUUCACCAAUGUAACAACAGAGUGUGGUCAAAGAAUUAGUAACUUAGUUGUUGUCACAAUCUGGUUACCUAUAAGUACAAACAUAGUUAUGUUUUUGGGUUGUUACAUAUCUAUGAACUUAUUUCCAGAUAUCUUAUAAACUACCCACAAUCCACUAUUUCUCAAGGUCAUAAGGAGGAUCUACUCUGUGCUACCGAUUUCAUAUGCUAGCUCAGUAGCAAGCCCAAGCUGGCUAAUGUUAGUCACAGCUCAUGCUCUUCACGGACUUUGUGGCCGUGUUAUCUAGUGGGAACCCUAUAGCACUGCAGGCUCUGGUGACUUUUUGCUGUGGGCUCAAAACGAAAAAGACAAUCAAACCAGUGUGCUCUAAUUGUGUAAUGUUAGUACCUCGUCUGUUCUACUUUUUGUUUUGUCAAGAAUCGACAUGUUCUCUGUGAAGUAGGCUAUGGGAGUUUACUAACUUUUUCCACCUUAGCUUAGUAAUAGCGCACUAGCUGAUGAGCAUCUGAAAUCUAUAUAUUUUGAAUUUUUCUCACUAUAGUUACUGGAUUUUCCCUGAAUCUUACCCUCGGGUGGGCCCCAGUCAUCAAUCUAGGACCUGAGCCCUAGGACCAUGCCUCAUGACUACCUGGCAUGAUGACUCGUUGUCCCCAGUCAGCGAGUCAUGAUGACUUGCUGUCCCCAGUCCACCUGGCCGUGCUGCUGCUCCAGUUUCAACUGUUCUGCCUGUGGCUAUGGAACCCUGACCUGUUCACCGGACGUGCUACCUGUCCCAGACCUGCUGUUUUCAACUCUCUAGAGACAGCAGGCGCGGUAGAGAUACUCUCAAUGAUUGGCUAUGAAAAGCCAACUGACACUUACUCCUGAGGUGCUGACUUAUUGCACCCUCGACAACUACUGUGAUUAUUAUUAUUUGACCAUGCUGGUCAUUUAUGAACAUUUGAACAUCUUGGCCAUGUUCUGUUAUAAUCUCCACCCGGCACAGCCAGAAGAGUACUGGCCACCCCUCAUAGCCUGGUUCCUCUCUAGGUUUCUUCCUAGGUGUUGGCCUUUCUAGGGAGUUUUCCCUAGCCACCUUGCUUCUACACCUGCAUUGCUUGCUGUUUUGGGUUUUAGGCUGGGUUUCUGUACAGCACUUUGCGAUAUCAGCUGAUGUAAGAAGGGCUAUAUCAAUAAAUUUGAUUUGAAUAAGUGAAAACCACUUGCAUAAUGGAGGAGCGAGAGAGAGAGAGAGGGAGGGAGGAAAAAGAAGGAGUGGCAGACAAGGAAUAUUUGAUGAGAGGAGGAGUAGGGAAGUGGGAAAAGAACAGAGGACGCCAUAAGAGAGGGAGUCAAAGGGGAGAGGGUGUGAGUGAGAGCGGGUAAGCUACAAGACCCCACUAGCCACAGACCAUUCUCCAAUGUUGUGAAAAUACUGUGUUGCAUGUAAUAGCCCCAACAAAAUAAAUUCUAGGUAACAACA